AUGACGACCACGGCGUACGUCCCGCCGUCGCUCUCCGCCUCGAGCGUGGCCAUCGUGCUGGCCACCGGGUCUCACGUGCUAAGGAUCGACUACUUCUCGCAGGCGGCUGCGAUGCUCGCCAACGGCGAGUGUCUCAAGUCGCCCAAGUUCCAGGCGGGAGGGCACACCUGGCGUAUCCGCUGCUACCCCAACGGAUCGGCGCAAAAGUACGACGGCUACGUCUCCCUCGUGCUGGAGCUCGCCAGCCACGUCGUCAAGGACGUCCGCGCUGAGUUCCGGUUCACCCUGGUCCCGCUCCGGCGACAGGGCUGGCCGGCGCCGGCGCCGUACGAGCACGCCGACGUGGUCACGUUCGAGGAGAAGGGCCGGCAGUUCGGCUUUAAGAACUUCGUCAGCAGGGAUUGGCUGGAGAAGUCGGAGAAGCUACUCGACGGCGCCCUCGCCGUGAGGUGCGACGUGACCGUCCUGACCAAGCAGCCGGCGCCGGUGCCUGUCGUCGAGGAGCAAGAGCUGGAGCGGCUGGGGCUGGUGUGCGCCUGCAAGGACGACGCGUGCAAGCGCAUCCACGCGGGUACCGUGGAGGCCGCCAUGGCCUUAGGGACGAUGCCCCGUCGAUGCCGCCGGGUGAAGGAGGCGUGUCUCAGGCUCCUCGGGCGUCUUCGUGUGGAAUAA
Molecule: ribosomal RNA, 672 nt
Filed under: Triticum aestivum (bread wheat)
Lineage: Eukaryota; Viridiplantae; Streptophyta; Magnoliopsida; Poales; Poaceae
Description: partial small subunit ribosomal RNA
Source: RNAcentral